CGCAGCCGCGGUAAUUCCAGCUCCAAUAGCGUAUAUUAAAGUUGUUGCAGUUAAAAAGCUCGUAGUUGAAUUUCGGGAUCAAUUAAUUGGUCGUGCCUCUGGUACGUACUGAUUUUAUUGGUUUCUCCCUUCUGAAGAACCAUGAUGUCAUUAAUUUGGUGUCGUGGAGAAUCAGGACUGUUACUUUGAAAAAAUUAGAGUGUUUAAAGCAAGCUAACGCUUGAAUACAUUAGCAUGGAAUAAUGAAAUAGGACGUUUGAUCCUAUUUUGUUGGUUUCUAGGAUCGACGUAAUGAUUAAUAGGGAUAGUUGGGGGCAUUAGUAUUCAAUUGUCAGAGGUGAAAUUCUUGGAUUUAUUGAAGACUAACUACUGCGAAAGCAUUUGCCAAGGAUGUUUUCAUUAAUCAAGAACGAAAGUUAGGGGAUCGAAGACGAUCAGAUACCGUCGUAG
RNAcentral lists this ribosomal RNA (450 nucleotides) under uncultured Glomeromycotina. RNAcentral's name for it is "SSU rRNA". It matches the Rfam family "Eukaryotic small subunit ribosomal RNA", at positions 569 to 1023 of the family's 1831-position model. The record is from RNAcentral. Lineage: Eukaryota; Fungi; Glomeromycota.